UAAAAAAUGAGUCUUAGUGAAAAUUAGAUACACAUCAAAAACAAGUUAUUAACAAGAGAUCAAAACAAAAUACAUUGUAAAAAAUGGUUUUCUUGGUUUCAUUAAACCAUUAAUAUUCUUUAUUCUCUCUUCUUUCCAGGCAACCUCUUUAUUUUCAGGUUAUAUCUGGCGGCUGAUAAAGAUUAUUUAGGCUUGAUCUGGAGGCGGCUCUUCCCAAUGUGUCAAACAAUGCAGAUCGGGGCCGUACAAAUUCGUAACACUUGAGCUCAACCGCGAGAGGAAUCUUGUGCCCAAUGUAUUAAGAGUACAAUGUCUUUGGGAAUUAUACCAGGUGUAGAGGUUCCUGGUUUAUUACACCGAUAGGCCAACAAUCGAUACCUCAACAAUUACCUGCUGUCAUCAAGAGAGAUUGAUCGCUAAGCUAGAAGAAGCAAGAAGCUAAACUUUGCCACAACAAAAAGAAUUGUUUUAACAAAUAAAUACAUAACAAGUGUUUUAUUGAAGCCUUAACCACCAGUGCCUUGUUAGCAACACAAAAAGUCAAACAAUGCAGAUCGUCGACGAACCCUGAGUGGAAUUCUGUACCCAAUGUGGCAAGGCGCCAAUUCAAUGUUGCAAUACGAAGUAGUGAACGGCUUUCAACGAAUGUACAGUACGAUAAGUGGUGCAACAAACUGCACAUGAUCCCAUUCCAAAUAAGUGGAUACAAUUCUUACUUAAGCAACACAUUUAGAAAUAGUAUGAUGAUAAAUAUGAUAUUUUAAAAUUCAAUAGAUUGCAAGUAAAGAUAUAAAACUA
This is a long non-coding RNA of Musca domestica (house fly), 798 nucleotides long. RefSeq lists it as uncharacterized. NCBI's taxonomy places the organism in Eukaryota, Metazoa, Arthropoda, Insecta, Diptera, Muscidae. The record is from RefSeq and is a predicted model, not a curated record. The transcript is spliced from 5 exons.